GCGGAUGUGGUGGAAUGGCAGACACGCCAGCCUUAGGAGCUGGUGCUUCGGCGUAGGGGUUCGAGUCCCCUCAUCCGUACCA
This 82-nucleotide transfer RNA is filed under the name compost metagenome. RNAcentral describes it as "tRNA-Leu". It matches the Rfam family "tRNA". From Rfam's summary of the family: Transfer RNA (tRNA) molecules are approximately 80 nucleotides in length. Their secondary structure includes four short double-helical elements and three loops (D, anti-codon, and T loops). The record is from RNAcentral.